ACAUAUGUGCUUGCCUUCACACUCUUCAUCCACUCAACCCCUGUGCACUUUAUCAGAGUUAGUAAUAGUAUUGUGGUGGCGGCCAUUUGUUGUUAUUCAUUGUUAGAAGCGGGGGUAACCCUGUCUGGCAAUAGUAAUGAUAAUAAUCUUGGUUCUACUACUACUACUACUAUGAACACUUUGACUUUUAUUUAUACAAACACUUUGCUUGUUCUUGUGAAUGUGUAAUGCUCCUUGUGAGCGAAAUACAAAUAUACAACUUUCAACAACGGAUCUCUUGGCUCUCGCAUCGAUGAAGAACGCAGCGAAAUGCGAUAAGUAAUGUGAAUUGCAGAAUUCAGUGAAUCAUCGAAUCUUUGAACGCACCUUGCGCCCCUUGGUAUUCCGAGGGGCAUGCCUGUUUGAGUGUCAUGUAAUUCUCAAUCCUCUUCUUCUUAACUGAAGAAAAAGAGGCUUGGACUUGGAGGUAUACACAAGCUGGUACUGUUUGGUAUCGGCUCCUCUCAAAUACAUUAGCUGGACUGUAGUUCGCGUUGUUUGGUGUAAUAGUUCUAUCUUAUUUCACUACAGUGCUUACUUAGACGGGUCUGCUUCCAAUAGUCCGCCUAUGUGU
This 613-nucleotide unclassified non-coding RNA is filed under the name Fomitiporia torreyae. Its description in RNAcentral is "partial contains ITS1, 5.8S rRNA and ITS2". The stretch from base 258 to 411 matches the Rfam family "5.8S ribosomal RNA". Lineage: Eukaryota; Fungi; Basidiomycota; Agaricomycetes; Hymenochaetales; Hymenochaetaceae. The record is from RNAcentral.